This 238-nucleotide ribosomal RNA is filed under the name uncultured bacterium. Its description in RNAcentral is "partial 16S ribosomal RNA". It matches the Rfam family "Bacterial small subunit ribosomal RNA", at positions 102 to 334 of the family's 1533-position model. The record is from RNAcentral.
CCGACGGGUGAGUAACACGUAUGCAAUCCACCUGUAACAGGGGGAUAACCCGGAGAAAUCCGGACUAAUACCCAUAAUAUGGGCGCUCCGCAUGGAGAGUUCAUUAAAGAGAGCAAUUUUGGUUACAGACGAGCAUGCGCUCCAUUAGCCAGUUGGCGGGGUAACGGCCCACCAAGGCGACGAUGGAUAGGGGUUCUGAGAGGAAGGUCCCCCACAUUGGAACUGAGACACGGUCCAA